AGAGUUUGAUCCUGGCUCAGAGCGAACGCUGGCGGCGUGGCUAAGACAUGCAAGUCGAACGGGUGCAGCAAUGCAUCAGUGGCGAACGGGUGAGUAAUGUAUCGCUAACGUACCCUCCAGUCAGGGAUAGCCGGGGGAAACUCCGGGUAAUACCUGAUCAGACCACCGGCCCCGCAUGGGGCUGUGCUCAAAGGAGCAAUCCGCUGGAGGAGCGGGCGAUAUCGUAUCAGCUAGUUGGUGCGGGUAACGGCCCACCAAGGCGACGACGCGUAGCCGGGCUGAGAGGUCGGCCGGCCACAUUGGGACUGAGACACUGCCCAGACUCCUACGGGGGGCUGCAGUAACGAAUCUUCCGCAAUGCACGAAAGUGUGACGGAGCGACGCCGCGUGUGGGACGAAGCCCUUCGGGGUGUAAACCACUGUCAGGGGUUACCAAGUUCUGAGGAGCCCCAGAGGAAGGCACGGCUAACUCUGUGCCAGCAGCCGCGGUAAUAC
RNAcentral lists this ribosomal RNA (495 nucleotides) under uncultured bacterium. RNAcentral's name for it is "bacterial SSU rRNA". It matches the Rfam family "Bacterial small subunit ribosomal RNA", at positions 8 to 526 of the family's 1533-position model. The record is from RNAcentral.